Long non-coding RNA from Dreissena polymorpha, 383 nucleotides. RefSeq lists it as uncharacterized. The transcript has 3 exons. Lineage: Eukaryota; Metazoa; Mollusca; Bivalvia; Myida; Dreissenidae. The record is from RefSeq and is a predicted model, not a curated record.
GAAAAUAUUGCGAUGAUGACGAACAGAAAACGUUAAAUUAUUGACGUGAACACAGAAGAAAUAGCUAAAGUCGUGCCAACCAUAAAUAAUACAUGUAGCGUAAAUGCUAAGGUUGGAGAUCAAAUUUCGUGCCAGUUAAAGAUCGAUGAUGGGUUAGAUAUAGAAGUUUUGAACAAUGCAAAUAAAACAACAACAUAUAACAGAACGUCAAAGACGCUCUAUUUCAGACAAAAAGAUGAUCGUCCACACAACAUAUGGUUUGUUGCAAUCAACGCCGACAGAAAGCAAUCUCAGCAGCACACUAUACAGGUACAACUAUGCACUGGUUGCCGUGGCAACGGACGCUGCUCCACGACAGUGCGGCCGGACCCUCGAGAGAAUGC